CAAGGUAAGCGGGUGAUCGCUCUUAUUUUUUAUUGAAUAGGGGAGGAAAGUCCGGACUUUGAACCGCGUAGAGAAGCUUUGCUUCCCACGCGAGGAAAGCGGCAGUGGGUAACGCCCACCCGCCAUACGCUAAAGCUUCGGCGGGCAGGCCCGAAUGUAAAUUUGUUUUACAAUUUAGGUUUUGUUUAAAGAUUUUUUAGUUAAAGCGAGGGAAAGUGCCACAGAGACAAUACUACUUCGUUUCUUUCGAGGAGCGGGGGAAAGGUGAAAAGACGCUUGGUGUUUUUUGUUCUCGAGAUAAAAGGCUACAAGCGUCGUCCUCUGGUGACAGAGUGUACGUGGUAAACCCUGCCUAAAGCAAGAGCAAAUCCACCUACGCUAAAGCUUCGGUGGACAAGGCCCAAAAGGCUGAGUUAGCAGGAUGCAAGGUGAAGAUGGAAAAAAGUGGCUCGCAUGACCCUAGAAGCAAUUUUAGGGCUAGAUAAAUGAUUGCCUCCCGUGAACACGCAGUGUUUUUAUGGGAACAGAAUCCGGCUUAUAGCUUGCCUUGAUAC
RNAcentral lists this RNase P RNA (554 nucleotides) under Candidatus Falkowiibacteriota bacterium. RNAcentral's name for it is "RNase P RNA component class A". It matches the Rfam family "Bacterial RNase P class A". From Rfam's summary of the family: Ribonuclease P (RNase P) is a ubiquitous endoribonuclease, found in archaea, bacteria and eukarya as well as chloroplasts and mitochondria. Lineage: Bacteria; Candidatus Falkowiibacteriota. The record is from RNAcentral.